CCUACGGGAGGCAGCAGUGGGGAAUAUUGCACAAUGGGGGAAACCCUGAUGCAGCGACGCCGCGUGAGUGAAGAAGUAAUUCGUUAUGUAAAGCUCUAUCAGCAGGGAAGAAAAUGACGGUACCUGAGUAAGACGCCCCGGCUAACUACGUGCCAGCAGCCGCGGUCAUACGUAGGGGGCAAGCGUUAUCCGGAUUUACUGGGUGUAAAGGGAGCGUAGACGGCAGUGCAAGUCUGGAGUGAAAGGCGGGGGCUCAACCCCCGGACUGCUCUGGAAACUGUACGGCUGGAGUGCAGGAGAGGUAAGUGGAAUUCCUAGUGUAGCGGUGAAAUGCGUAGAUAUUAGGAGGAACACCAGUGGCGAAGGCGGCUUACUGGACUGUAACUGACGUUGAGGCUCGAAAGCGUGGGGAGCAAACAGGAUUAGAUACCCCAGUAGUC
This 440-nucleotide ribosomal RNA is filed under the name uncultured bacterium. RNAcentral's name for it is "partial 16S ribosomal RNA". It matches the Rfam family "Bacterial small subunit ribosomal RNA", at positions 338 to 795 of the family's 1533-position model. The record is from RNAcentral.